This 531-nucleotide ribosomal RNA is filed under the name Gyroporus longicystidiatus. RNAcentral describes it as "partial large subunit ribosomal RNA". It matches the Rfam family "Eukaryotic large subunit ribosomal RNA", at positions 127 to 640 of the family's 3401-position model. The record is from RNAcentral. Lineage: Eukaryota; Fungi; Basidiomycota; Agaricomycetes; Boletales; Gyroporaceae.
ACUCUGGCCAUGGGAGUUGUAAUCUAGAGAAGCGUCGUCCGCGCUGGACCGUGUACAGGUCUCCUGGAAGGGAGCAUCGUAGAGGGUGACAGUCCCGUCUUCGACACGGACGCCCAGGGCUAUGUGAGGCGCUCUCGACGAGUCGGGUUGUUUGGGAAUGCAGCUCCAAAUGGGUGGUAGACUCCAUCUAAAGCUAAAUACGGGCGAGAGACCGAUAGCGAACAAGUACCGUGAGGGAAAGAUGAAAAGAACUUUGGAAAGAGAGUUAAACAGUACGUGAAAUCGCUGGAAGGGAAACGCUCCGAGUCAGUCGCGUCCGCCGGGGAUCAACCCUGCUCCACGUGGGGCGUACUUCCCGACUGACGGGUCAGCAUCGAUCUCGGUCGUCGUACAAGGACGGCGGCGAAAGUGGCACUCCCCGGAGUGUGUUAUAGCCCGCCGUUCGCAUGCGACGGCCCGGGAUCGAGGAACUCGACACGGACGGGGCUUCGGCCCGCGUCGGCGUGUCCAGGAUGUUGGCGUAAUGGCUUC